Molecule: ribosomal RNA, 840 nt
Filed under: Wickerhamiella versatilis
Lineage: Eukaryota; Fungi; Ascomycota; Dipodascomycetes; Dipodascales; Trichomonascaceae
Description: LSU rRNA
Rfam family: Eukaryotic large subunit ribosomal RNA (bases 91-840)
Source: RNAcentral
CACCAAUGGUGGUUGCUGACGCUAUGCAGAGUGUCGAAAAGAAUGGAGAUGUACACGUUAGUGAAACUUGUACACCAAGCUUUCUUUAAAAGACCUCGUAUCAGGCAAGACUACCCGCUGAACUUAAGCAUAUCAAUAAGCGGAGGAAAAGAAACCAACAGGGAUUGCCCUAGUAACGGCGAGUGAAGCGGCAAAAGCCCAAAUUUGAAAUCCUCUUUUGAGGAGUUGUAAUUUGGAGAUGGAGUGCUGGACUCAGCUCUGUGGAAGUUGGCUGGAAAGCCGCGCCUUGGAGGGUGAUAGCCCCGUGCCACGGAGGUCCUGUGUCUGUGUAGUACUCUUUCUACGAGUCGCGUUGUUUGGGAAUGCAGCGCUAAGUGGGUGGUAAAUUCCAUCUAAGGCUAAAUAUUGGCGAGAGACCGAUAGCGAACAAGUACUGUAAAGGAAAGAUGAAAAGCACUUUGAAAAGAGAGUGAAAUAGCACGUGAAAUCGUUGAAGUGGAAGGGCUUAAAGCUACACACCUUCUUCGGAAGGGGCUAACAUCAGUUUUGCCGGAUGGAUAAAUGGUAAAGAAAGUGGCAUCUUCGGAUGUGUUAUAGCUUUAUCAAAUACGUCCCGGCGGGAUUGAGGACCGCGCUUUAUGCAAGGAUGUUGGCGUAAUGGUUUUAAGCCACCCGUCUUGAAACACGGACCAAGGAGUCUAUUGCUCAUGCGAGUGUUUGGGUGUUAAACUCGCAACGCGAAAUGAAAGUGAACGUAGAUUGGACCCGUUUGGUGCACAAUCGACCGAUCCUGAUGUUCUCGGAUGGAUUUGAGUAAGAGCAUGAGUGAUGGGACCCGAU